Long non-coding RNA from Mercurialis annua (annual mercury), 365 nucleotides. RefSeq lists it as uncharacterized. NCBI's taxonomy places the organism in Eukaryota, Viridiplantae, Streptophyta, Magnoliopsida, Malpighiales, Euphorbiaceae. The record is from RefSeq and is a predicted model, not a curated record. The transcript is spliced from 3 exons.
UCCUUUGUUCUAACAAGCCCGGAUGCGAUUCAUUACGCUAAGAACUUGAUUUUUCAUCAUACUCGCAAGAUCUACGCGAUUUCUACGUUGUGUUCUUCGCUGGUGGCUUGUGGAUCCAAUUGAUUUCGGUCCAGCCCUUUGAACCUUGGGUUAAUACAUCAAUUAUAAUCUUGUUCAUCAUUCUUAGACCCGUCGACUGCUCGUGCUUCGGAGUCUACGCAGGGUUAGCUGUUUGCCAAGAUUUCACGUGGAUAAGCAAGCAGUUUAUGAUUUGAAAGCUGGUCCACUCCGAUUCUUGAUUCUUGGAGGUUUUUAUGUCAAUAAAACUAGUCUGUUGUUUUAAACUCUUAGACCGCAGUAGAACU